This 975-nucleotide ribosomal RNA is filed under the name uncultured bacterium. RNAcentral's name for it is "bacterial SSU rRNA". It matches the Rfam family "Bacterial small subunit ribosomal RNA", at positions 517 to 1503 of the family's 1533-position model. The record is from RNAcentral.
CCAGACACACGUAGGGCAGCGUUGUCGGAAUACUGGGUGAAAGGGAGCGCAGGCGGGACCCCUUGUUGGAAGUGAAAACCAUGGGGCUCAACCCAUGAAUUGCUUUAAAACUGUUUUUCUUGAGUAGUGCAGAGGUAGAUGGAAUUCCCGGUGUAGCGGUGGAAUGCGUAGAUAUCGGGAGGAACACCAGUGGCGAAGGCGGUCUACUGGGCACCAACUGACGCUGAGGCUCGAAAGCAUGGGUAGCAAACAGGAUUAGAUACCCUGGUAGUCCAUGCCGUAAACGAUGAUUACUAGGUGUUGGGGGAUUGACCCCCUCAGUGCCGCAGUUAACACAAUAAGUAAUCCACCUGGGGAGUACGACCGCAAGGUUGAAACUCAAAGGAAUUGACGGGGGCCCGCACAAGCAGUGGAGUAUGUGGUUUAAUUCGAAGCAACGCGAAGAACCUUACCAGGUCUUGACAUCCGAUGCAUAGCACAGAGAUGUGUGAAAUCCUUCGGGACAUCGAGACAGGUGGUGCAUGGUUGUCGUCAGCUCGUGUCGUGAGAUGUUGGGUUAAGUCCCGCAACGAGCGCAACCCUUAUUGCCAGUUACUACGUUAAGAGGACUCUGGCGAGACUGCCGUUGACAAAACGGAGGAAGGUGGGGAUGACGUCAAAUCAUCAUGCCCUUUAUGACCUGGGCUACACACGUACUACAAUGGCGUUAAACAAAGAGAAGCAAGACCGCGAGGUGGAGCAAAACUCAAAAACAACGUCUCAGUUCAGAUUGCAGGCUGCAACUCGCCUGCAUGAAGUCGGAAUUGCUAGUAAUCGCGGAUCAGCAUGCCGCGGUGAAUACGUUCCCGGGCCUUGUACACACCGCCCGUCACACCAUGAGAGCCGGGGGGACCCGAAGUCGAUAGUCUAACCGCAAGGAGGACAAGGCCGAAGGUAAAACUGGUGAUUGGGGUGAAGUCCUUUACGGGUAGCCGU